Molecule: long non-coding RNA, 270 nt
Filed under: Chinchilla lanigera (long-tailed chinchilla)
Lineage: Eukaryota; Metazoa; Chordata; Mammalia; Rodentia; Chinchillidae
Description: lncRNA (ENSCLAG00000026251.1)
Source: RNAcentral
CUUCCCCGCGCCCCUUCCGGGAUUCGGCACAGUGAUUGCUGGCUGGUGUUUUCCUUGCUUGAUACCCAUCCUGAGCUGUUUAUGUCCUUGUGCCUCUCUUCACAAACCUGCUCUUACAUAAUGGAGGUCUCCUUGAACAUUGAAUGGAAUAAAAAGGAAAAGGAAGGUUCACUGCUUCACUGCUUCCUGCCUGCAUGCCCUGAACUAUUUUCCUCUGCCAUGCUGCCUUGGCUUGGAGCCACCCAACAGUAAACUAAAACCCUUACAAAC